RNAcentral lists this ribosomal RNA (254 nucleotides) under uncultured bacterium. Its description in RNAcentral is "partial 16S ribosomal RNA". It matches the Rfam family "Bacterial small subunit ribosomal RNA", at positions 524 to 776 of the family's 1533-position model. The record is from RNAcentral.
UACGGAGGAUGCGAGCGUUAUCCGGAUUUAUUGGGUUUAAAGGGUGCGUAGGCUGUGAGGUAAGUCAGCGGUGAAAUGCCCCCGCUCAACGGGGUGAAGUGCCAUUGAUACUGCCUUGCUGGAAUGCGGAUGCCGUGGGAGGAAUGUGUGGUGUAGCGGUGAAAUGCAUAGAUAUCACACAGAACACCGAUUGCGAAGGCAUCUCACGAAUCCGCUAUUGACGCUGAUGCACGAAAGCGUGGGUAUCAAACAGG